GCAGGCGCAGUGGCGCGUGCCUAUGGUCCCAGCUACUCAGAAGGCUGAGAUGGGAGGAUCGCCUGAGUCCAGGAGGUCUGGGCUGUUGUGCGCUAUGCCGAUCGGGUGUCUGCACUAAGUUCGGCGUCAAUAUAGUGACCUUCAGGAGCUGGGGACCACCAGGUCGCCCAAGGAGGGAUAAACCAGCCCAGGUCAGAAAUAGCAGGUCAAAACUCCCGUGCUGAUCAGUAGUGGGAUCGCGCCUGUAAAUAGCCACUGCACUCCAGCCUGAGAAGCAAAGUGAGAUCCCAUCUCUA
Unclassified non-coding RNA from Callithrix jacchus (white-tufted-ear marmoset), 296 nucleotides. It matches the Rfam family "Metazoan signal recognition particle RNA". From Rfam's summary of the family: The signal recognition particle (SRP) is a universally conserved ribonucleoprotein. It is involved in the co-translational targeting of proteins to membranes. The eukaryotic SRP consists of a 300-nucleotide 7S RNA and six proteins: SRPs 72, 68, 54, 19, 14, and 9. NCBI's taxonomy places the organism in Eukaryota, Metazoa, Chordata, Mammalia, Primates, Cebidae. The record is from Ensembl.